CCUACGGGCGGCAGCAGUGGGGAAUAUUGCACAAUGGGGGAAACCCUGAUGCAGCGACGCCGCGUGAGUGAAGAAGUAUUUCGGUAUGUAAAGCUCUAUCAGCAGGGAAGAAAAUGACGGUACCUGAUUAAGAAGCCCCGGCUAACUACGUGCCAGCGGCCGCGGUAAUACGUAGGGGGCAAGCGUUAUCCGGAUUUCCUGGGUGUAAAGGGAGCGUAGACGGCAGUACAAGUCUGGAGUGAAAUGCCGGGGCUUAACCCCGGAACUGCUUUGGAAACGGUGCAGCUAGAGGGCAGGAGAGGUAAGUGGAAUUGCUAGUGUAGCGGUGAAAUGCGUAGAUAUUAGGAGGAACACCAGUGGCGAAGGCGGCUUACUGGACUGUAACUGACGUUGAGGCUCGAAAGCGCGGGUAUCGAACAGGAUUAGAUACCCCUGUAGUC
Molecule: ribosomal RNA, 440 nt
Filed under: uncultured bacterium
Lineage: Bacteria
Description: partial 16S ribosomal RNA
Rfam family: Bacterial small subunit ribosomal RNA
Source: RNAcentral